RNAcentral lists this non-coding RNA (112 nucleotides) under uncultured Marvinbryantia sp. RNAcentral's name for it is "NiCo riboswitch". It matches the Rfam family "NiCo (Nickel/Cobalt) riboswitch aptamer". Lineage: Bacteria; Bacillati; Bacillota; Clostridia; Lachnospirales; Lachnospiraceae. The record is from RNAcentral.
ACAGUACAAACUGAGCAGGCACUGAAUCAUGAUUCAUUCGUAUUCAGAAAGCCGGGCCGCUGAUGCGGCAACAGAUCAUUCGAUAGAUAAACUUCGAUAUCUGUGGGACAGU